UGGUGGAGUGAUUUGUCUGGUUAAUUCCGAUAACGAACGAGACCUUAUCCUGCUAAUUAGGUGUUCCAGAUCGUUCUGGUCAUCCUUCUUAGAGGGACUGUUGUACGCCUAGUCAACGGAAGUUUGAGGCAAUAACA
RNAcentral lists this ribosomal RNA (137 nucleotides) under uncultured eukaryote. Its description in RNAcentral is "partial 18S ribosomal RNA". It matches the Rfam family "Eukaryotic small subunit ribosomal RNA", at positions 1299 to 1458 of the family's 1831-position model. The record is from RNAcentral.